Molecule: small RNA, 172 nt
Filed under: Sphenodon punctatus (tuatara)
Lineage: Eukaryota; Metazoa; Chordata; Lepidosauria; Sphenodontia; Sphenodontidae
Description: TUC338 (ENSSPUG00000015812.1)
Source: RNAcentral
GUGAUAUUUGAAAAGUAAGUUUGUUUAUUCAUGAGAUAUGUAUCAUACAAGCAGCUGCAAUCUGCUUCCCCUCACUUCUCUGCUAAUGUGUUCAACUCUGACCUCAGAGGACCACCCUCUCUGAGGAUGAGAAGCAGCAUAGCUUUCCUGCAAACUCAUUUAUCGGGCUGCA